Molecule: unclassified non-coding RNA, 223 nt
Filed under: plant metagenome
Description: partial contains small subunit ribosomal RNA, internal transcribed spacer 1, and 5.8S ribosomal RNA
Source: RNAcentral
UUUCCGUAGGUGAACCUGCGGAAGGAUCAUUAUCAUGUAAUUCAGUCCCCUUGGCUGUGUUAUAUAUAUACCCACCCUGUGUACCUUCUCCUGUUGCUUCCGCUGGGUGUGUAAUUCGCCCGGCGGAAGGGUAAAAAUAACCUCUGAGUAUUGAUGAAAUCUCUGUCUGAACCGAAUAGAAAGAAAAAUGUUAAAACUUUCAGCAACGGAUCUCUUGGUUCUC